ACAGGUUAAUAUUCCUGUACUUGGUGUUACUGCGAAGGGGGGACGGAGAAGGCUAUGUUGGCCGGGCGACGGUUGUCCCGGUUUAAGCGUGUAGGCUGGUUUUCCAGGCAAAUCCGGAAAAUCAAGGCUGAGGCGUGAUGACGAGGCACUACGGUGCUGAAGCAACAAAUGCCAUGCUUCCAGGAAAAGCCUCUAAGCAUCAGGUAACAUCAAAUCGUACCCCAAACCGACACAGGUGGUCAGGUAGAGAAUACCAAGGCGCUUGAGAGAACUCGGGUGAAGGAACUAGGCAAAAUGGUGCCGUAACUUCGGGAGAAGGCACGCUGAUAUGUAGGUGAAGCGACUUGCUCGUGGAGCUGAAAUCAGUCGAAGAUACCAGCUGGCUGCAACUGUUUAUUAAAAACACAGCACUGUGCAAACACGAAAGUGGACGUAUACGGUGUGACGCCUGCCCGGUGCCGGAAGGUUAAUUGAUGGGGUCAGCGCAAGCGAAGCUCUUGAUCGAAGCCCCGGUAAACGGCGGCCGUAACUAUAACGGUCCUAAGGUAGCGAAAUUCCUUGUCGGGUAAGUUCCGACCUGCACGAAUGGCGUAAUGAUGGCCAGGCUGUCUCCACCCGAGACUCAGUGAAAUUGAACUCGCUGUGAAGAUGCAGUGUACCCGCGGCAAGACGGAAAGACCCCGUGAACCUUUACUAUAGCUUGACACUGAACAUUGAGCCUUGAUGUGUAGGAUAGGUGGGAGGCUUAGAAGUGUGGACGCCAGUCUGCAUGGAGCCGACCUUGAAAUACCACCCUUUAAUGUUUGAUGUUCUAACGUUGACCCGUAAUCCGGGUUGCGGACAGUGUCUGGUGGGUAGUUUGACUGGGGCGGUCUCCUCCUAAAGAGUAACGGAGGAGCACGAAGGUUGGCUAAUCCUGGUCGGACAUCAGGAGGUUAGUGCAAUGGCAUAAGCCAGCUUGACUGCGAGCGUGACGGCGCGAGCAGGUGCGAAAGCAGGUCAUAGUGAUCCGGUGGUUCUGAAUGGAAGGGCCAUCGCUCAACGGAUAAAAGGUACUCCGGGGAUAACAGGCUGAUACCGCCCAAGAGUUCAUAUCGACGGCGGUGUUUGGCACCUCGAUGUCGGCUCAUCACAUCCUGGGGCUGAAGUAGGUCCCAAGGGUAUGGCUGUUCGCCAUUUAAAGUGGUACGCGAGCUGGGUUUAGAACGUCGUGAGACAGUUCGGUCCCUAUCUGCCGUGGGCGCUGGAGAACUGAGGGGGGCUGCUCCUAGUACGAGAGGACCGGAGUGGACGCAUCACUGGUGUUCGGGUUGUCAUGCCAAUGGCACUGCCCGGUAGCUAAAUGCGGAAGAGAUAAGUGCUGAAAGCAUCUAAGCACGAAACUUGCCCCGAGAUGAGUUCUCCCUGACCCUUUAAGGGUCCUGAAGGAACGUUGAAGACGACGACGUUGAUAGGCCGGGUGUGUAAGCGCAGCGAUGCGUUGAGCUAACCGGUACUAAUGAACCGUGAGGCUUAACCUUACAACGCCGAAGCUGUU
Molecule: ribosomal RNA, 1537 nt
Filed under: Escherichia coli
Lineage: Bacteria; Pseudomonadati; Pseudomonadota; Gammaproteobacteria; Enterobacterales; Enterobacteriaceae
Description: partial 23S ribosomal RNA
Rfam family: Bacterial large subunit ribosomal RNA
Source: RNAcentral